UCUUUCUUCAGGAACUGCUGUCUGUAUCUCUGAGCUUCACGAUUCGCCUCCUCCAGCUGCUUCAGAAGAGACACUUUUUCCUGUUAGACACACACAGAUUUGCUGCUGUUUCCAGGUGAGACGAGUCCAGCGAGGUUCACGACUCCUCCCGGGCCGAUGAUGAACUGUGGUGUAGUUGUGUGAAUAGUCAGUGUAUCUGGACUCUCUGGUCUCACCCAGUCGGUAGUGAAUGGAGCUCCAUUGGCCAUCAGUAUCCGAACCUCAUCGUCCUGACCAGCACGAGCUGCUUCUAGAAGCUUCUUUCCCAAAUCCACCAGAGACAUCUACAACAUCACACUCCAGUUAUCCACCACAUUCAUGUGUAAUAUCAUAACAACAGUAUCAGCACAAACAUACAAACACAAGCUCUUGAAUGUGUGAAAUAUUCACUGAGUAGAUGAC
Molecule: long non-coding RNA, 441 nt
Organism: Myxocyprinus asiaticus (Chinese sucker)
Lineage: Eukaryota; Metazoa; Chordata; Actinopteri; Cypriniformes; Catostomidae
Exons: 3
Source: RefSeq, a predicted model, not a curated record